UGCCUGUAAGCCCCUGUGCUCCCUCUCACCCAUUUGGGGCUGUCCUUGCCCAUCUGGUGUGUAAGAUUUGCCAUUUCUGUGCACCACGCGGGGCCACUGCCCUGAGAGGUAAGGCAGUGACGGAGGUAAACGGAAAAUUGAAUGUGCCAUCAGCGGAAUUAAAAGCAGCCCGCUCGAGGUGGAGAAAAUUAAAGCCAUUAAAAAUAGAAAAGAGCCGUCCAACCUUCAGCCUAAAUUUUCUUCUUUCCUUCCAGGAGACCGUGGUUUAAAGGGUGGCUGCGUUAUGUGUGGACGGUGCUGCCUGCUCGCUGGUCAGGCAGCUCAGGCUUCGUCUGAUGAACCAGGAGCAUCUUCCCCUGGGCCAGGCAGCCUGGGUCACUCCAUCAGCACUGCAGCCAGCACUGGGUGGCCAAGCAGGAGCCGAGGUCAAUCUAGUGCCAAGGAGACCAACGUGCUGGACAGUCCCUGGAGCCCUGGUGCCAUUCAUACGGAGGAAAUAUCUCCAGCGUUUAGGGCACGGUUUGCUUUCUCCUCUUCUCUUGGCCUCUCUGCUGAGGUUGCCAACAGGGGCUUGUGUUCACGACCUGCCCCAGCAAUUCAUGGGGUGAGUGUGGGUUUUCAUGCUCUGAGCCCACGGAGAGCUGGUCCAGGGAUGUUCCCCAGUGUGGGGUAUAUCUUUGUUGUUGUAGGGUGGUUUUCUGCUGGGUUAGCUCCCUGGGGCAGCCGGAUGAGCACUGGUGCUAGGUGCACGUGGUGGGUUUGAUAUAGAGGGGAGAGUGACGGCCCCUCCGCAUGGCAGCCAGAUAUUUGGCUCCUCUCCGUGGCAAAGCUGCCCCGAGGGACCUGAAUGCUCCCAGCUCUUUCUCUGCUCCCAGUUCCCAUGAGCUGGAUUGCUCUGGGGGCACCGAAACACCUUCCUGGGUCACCUACAGCCGGAUGAAUCAUGUUCCCAGGUGGAGAAUUCGAUCAAUCAAAGACUUUUUGCUGGUGCUACCACCUUGUGUCGACGCAGCUGUCCUUGGGACCUGCCCUGAGCCUGUCCCUGGGGCAAUUUGAACUAAAAAUGUAACUCUGGGAUUUUCUAGAAGGUUGGAGGGGGCUUCACAGCCCCAUUCCCGGGGUUCCUGUAUCUGGUUUAGGAAGAGCUUUAAGACAAGUUCCAAUGCAUUUGGUAAACCAGAGAAAUGUGUCAGCCCUGAGGGCUGCAAAGCACGGCCAGACCAACAGCUCUAGAUACAAAUUGGUGUCCUGGGUGCAGAGCAGAGAGCAAGGAUGCUUCAGACAUGGGACCACGUUAGCUCCUACCUCCCUAGGCACAGUCCAGGCUGGUGGGAUGCCAGCUACAACACCCCCAGCCUCGUCUUCCCUUCUCCAGCCUGUCCUCAGAACCAUUUUUUCACCACUUUUCACGCCACAAUCUGCUUGUUUUUUUCCUCUCCCCACGUGGCUCUGUCCUUCUGACCUCUUGCCUCUGACCUGUUGUUCAGCUAAUGAGCGCACAAUUAGCUCCUGCCCUUUGAGUCUUCUCUUCUGUCAAGAUGAAGUGCUGAAAGGUGCCCGGGGAGGGUUUCUCUGGAGCUUAUCUCAUCAGCGAUGGGCCUGAGACCUCUGGAGAUGCUCUCGGCGUAGCAAAGGCCAGAGGUCAGCUCACUGCAGCUGGCCCGAGGGACUGGUUUAGGGGAACAAGAAUUAUAUUUCUGCAUAAGGUCUCCUACGAGAUGCAAACUGCUUUGCUGUGGAUCCAUGGGGUGCCAGUGAGGGUG
Molecule: long non-coding RNA, 1763 nt
Filed under: Anser brachyrhynchus (Pink-footed goose)
Lineage: Eukaryota; Metazoa; Chordata; Aves; Anseriformes; Anatidae
Description: lncRNA (ENSABRG00000007672.1)
Source: RNAcentral